RNAcentral lists this ribosomal RNA (499 nucleotides) under uncultured bacterium. RNAcentral's name for it is "partial 16S ribosomal RNA". It matches the Rfam family "Bacterial small subunit ribosomal RNA", at positions 28 to 507 of the family's 1533-position model. The record is from RNAcentral.
GACGAACGCUGGCGGCGUGCCUAAUACAUGCCAGUCGAGCGAAGUUUUUCUGGUGCUUGCACUAGAAAAACUUAGCGGCGAACGGGUGAGUAACACGUAAAGAACCUGCCUCAUAGACUGGGACAACUAUUGGAAACGAUAGCUAAUACCGGAUAACAGCAUUAACUGCAUGGUUGAUGUUUAAAAGUUGGUUUUGCUAACACUAUGAGAUGGCUUUGCGGUGCAUUAGCUAGUUGGUGGGGUAAAGGCCUACCAAGGCGACGAUGCAUAGCCGACCUGAGAGGGUGAUCGGCCACACUGGGACUGAGACACGGCCCAGACUCCUACGGGAGGCAGCAGUAGGGAAUCUUCCGCAAUGGGCGAAAGCCUGACGGAGCAACGCCGCGUGAGUGAAGAAGGAUUUCGGUUCGUAAAGCUCUGUUGUUAGGGAAGAAUGAUUGUGUAGUAACUAUACACAGUAGAGACGGUACCUAACCAGAAAGCCACGGCUAACUACGUG